GGGGUUGUAGCUCAAUUGGUAGAGCGCCCGGCCCGCAACCGGGAGGUUGGGAGUUCGAGUCUCCUCUUCUCCA
This 73-nucleotide transfer RNA is filed under the name Actinoplanes sp. SE50/110. It matches the Rfam family "tRNA". Rfam says of the family: Transfer RNA (tRNA) molecules are approximately 80 nucleotides in length. Their secondary structure includes four short double-helical elements and three loops (D, anti-codon, and T loops). The record is from Rfam by way of RNAcentral. Lineage: Bacteria; Bacillati; Actinomycetota; Actinomycetes; Micromonosporales; Micromonosporaceae.